UUCUGCUGUACCCAACUGGCCUGAGUCUAUCACAAAGGGUCCUUCGGCUGAGGAGUGUGAACCCAUUCCUCCUGGGGGCCAGGAGCAGCAGCAGCUCAGGCACAGUAGGGGCAGAUGAAGAACACUGUUCACUGGCAUCAAGAGAAGAAGCCAGGAGCAGUUUAACUGAGGGAAAAGGAGGAACAGGGUGUUGAGCAGGAGGAACACUUUUCCCAGAGUCAGGAAUACCAGGAGCAGGAGCCUUCCCAAAGGGACCAGGAGCAUGUCCUGUUGCAGUUCCUGGCACAAGUGGUGUGGAAAGGAUUUAGGUCCCACCUACCGCAAGAGCCACUGCCAGGGUCCAGAAAUUGGCACCUUCCUUCUCAUCUCCCAGCUGCUACUUCUCCUGCAGGCCAGGGUGUUGCUCAGGCAGAGGAUCCAAACAGCCUCCCCCUCCCGCCCCAAUGACAAAGGGGAGGCUGAAAGACUUCAGGGACAGCAUGCUGCACCAAAACCCCUCCAGGGGGAGAACUGUGACCAUGCAGGAACAAACAAUAAGCCCAAGACUGUGCCUGAAGGCCAGCAUAUGUUGGCUCUCAAACCCUGUGCAGGAGUUGUUCCCAUUUGUCCCGCUUGUCUGCAGGAGUGGGGAGAUCAAAGCCAAGGACACCAUGUCAUAUGCUUUGAAGUUUAAUUUUCUUGGGAGUCUGAUCCAUUCUGCUGUCUUUCAUAGUUCCUUUUGAAAAACUGUUCAGAGUUAUGCUACAUGUACUAGUUUCAAUAAAUGUUAUUUUCCUUUA
Molecule: long non-coding RNA, 779 nt
Organism: Mauremys mutica (yellowpond turtle)
Lineage: Eukaryota; Metazoa; Chordata; Testudines; Geoemydidae
Exons: 2
Source: RefSeq, a predicted model, not a curated record